This 397-nucleotide unclassified non-coding RNA is filed under the name fungal sp. Its description in RNAcentral is "partial internal transcribed spacer region". The stretch from base 1 to 46 matches the Rfam family "Eukaryotic small subunit ribosomal RNA", at positions 1786 to 1831 of the family's 1831-position model. The record is from RNAcentral. Lineage: Eukaryota; Fungi.
AAGUCGUAACAAGGUUUCCGUAGGUGAACCUGCGGAAGGAUCAUUAACACGUUAUCCACGUAUCACCAACGAGAAUCGUUUUCAAUCCUCGCCGACAAUACAAUGAAUUGGAACUUGUCUUGGAGCUUUUGGAUGGGAUGCUUGCGUCCGCUAUACUCGCCACUGACUCGCGUUGCUUAGAAAUAAGUCCGGGUCGACAAUUGUAUGUAUUGGAGGUCUACUCUCAUCGGGUCUUCAGCCAAUCCUUGAUCAGCUCGAUGGGAAAUAAUGUUACCCCUUUCACCCCCUUUUUGCUAGUUGACUUUUUUCUGUGGCUCAUUUGCUUCGGCAUUUGAUCACACGUUUAAUUAUUUGAACGUUAAAAAUACAACUCUUAGCAAUGGAUAUCUAGGUUCUC